This 497-nucleotide ribosomal RNA is filed under the name uncultured bacterium. RNAcentral's name for it is "partial 16S ribosomal RNA". It matches the Rfam family "Bacterial small subunit ribosomal RNA", at positions 28 to 507 of the family's 1533-position model. The record is from RNAcentral.
GAUGAACGCUGGCGGCGUGCCUAAUACAUGCAAGUCGAGCGGACAGACGCGGCGCUUGCUCCUCUGUCGUUAGCGGCGGGCGGGUGAGUCACACGUGGAUACCCUACCUGUAAGACUGAGAUCACUUCGGGAAACCGGCGCUAAUACCGGAUGAUAUCUUGAACCACGUGGUUCGUUAGUAAGAGACGGCUUUGCUGUAUCUUAUAGCUGCUUCCGAGCGGGAUUAGGUAGUUGGUACGGUAAAGGCUUACCACGGGAAGGAUGCGUGACCGACCUGAGAGGGGGAUAGGCCACAUGGGAAGUGAGACACGGUCCAGACUCCUACGGGAGGCACCAGUAGGGAAUCUUCCGCAAUGGGCGAAAGCAUGACGGAGUAACGGCGCGUGAGUGACGAAGGUCUCCGGAGCGUAAAACUCUGUUAUUAGGUAAGAACAAAUGUGUCAGUAAAUAUGGACGUAUUGACGGUACCUAAUCAGAAAGCAACGGCUAACUACGUG